This 395-nucleotide ribosomal RNA is filed under the name uncultured bacterium. RNAcentral describes it as "partial 16S ribosomal RNA". It matches the Rfam family "Bacterial small subunit ribosomal RNA", at positions 523 to 918 of the family's 1533-position model. The record is from RNAcentral.
AUACGUAGGGUGCAAGCGUUAAUCGGAAUUACUGGGCGUAAAGCGUGCGCAGGCGGUUUUGUAAGACAGUGGUGAAAUCCCCGGGCUCAACCUGGGAACUGCCCUUGUGACUGCAAGGCUGGAGGGCGGCAGAGGGGGAUGGAAUUCCGCGGGUAGCAGUGAAAUGCGUAGAUAUGCGGAGGAACACCGAUGGCGAAGGCAAUCCCCUGGGCCUGCACUGACGCUCAUGCACGAAAGCGUGGGGAGCAAACAGGAUUAGAUACCCUGGUAGUCCACGCCCUAAACGAUGUCAACUGGUUGUUGGGGAUUUAUUUUCUCAGUGACGAAGCUAACGCGUGAAGUUGACCGCCUGGGGAGUACGGCCGCAAGGUUAAAACUCAAAGGAAUUGACGGGG